This is a long non-coding RNA of Thalassophryne amazonica, 313 nucleotides long. RefSeq lists it as uncharacterized. The transcript is spliced from 3 exons. NCBI's taxonomy places the organism in Eukaryota, Metazoa, Chordata, Actinopteri, Batrachoidiformes, Batrachoididae. The record is from RefSeq and is a predicted model, not a curated record.
ACGGGCUUAUGUACGAUCAGUGGGUACGUACACAUUUUUGUAAAUAGGAUUGAUGCACUUUAUCAUUUACAUAUGGUCCCUAUACACCAUAACUACUUGAACAUAAUUCUUACAGGAUACCUCCAGUAAACAUCCAUUUAAAACGGAAGAAUAAAGGUGAACAUUGUGCAAAAAACACAAACAGGAACUCUUUGUACAAAUAUUCCACUGACCUCCCAUGACUCUGAGAUUAUAUUGAGUAAAAACAUUAAAAUUCACACAGAUACGACAGUUAGAGUCUUGUCACAGUACAUUCUCACAGGCGCCUGCUUCA